UUUAACCCUCUAAAAAUAUCUAUUUGCUGCACAAACUCCAAAUCUAUUUUUACCUGGCACUCUACUACUUCACCCACCUAACAAAACUUGUUUCACUAUUUUAGUACCUUUCCACAAUUUCUGACACAAAUAAACAUACAUCAGACAAAAGAAAAUGCUAAAUAUAUGAACAGCUGUGGGCAAGAACUGACUCAACUGGCCCGACUCUAAACAACACCAGCAGUCAAGCAGUGCUUACGGCUUUAGGCUCCAGCUCCGCGCUCGCCCGCGCUCCCUCUGCGCGCCGACUGCGACGCCAAACUCCGGCAACAACAACACGGAACACGACGCAGUAGAGUUCCAAUCAGCAACCUGGUAGCAUCAGUGGCUCACCACGAAGCAGAACAACCCAUGAGCGUGCUCGCAACCAGCUCCAGACUAGGUCCGCCAUGGUGAGGUCAUCCCAGACGGUGUUCACCGACGGCGCCACGGCGUUCUCCAAGUCCUAGCCACGGAGGGGCGAGACGCCGGCAGCGUGAUCACAAUUUCAAAGACAACGACGACAAACGGCAGUCUCGGACAGCGACGUAAUCUGGUUUUACACGAACGUGGGGCACAGACAUGGGAAACAUUCGGUGAGUUGGGUAGAAACUGGAAGACGGUCGAGAAACACCUUAGGCGAGUUUGGUCAUGGCGACACAGAGAGAACAAAGAUUGUCCACCCACUGGUCACGGUGAAGCUUAUCCAAGGGGGAACUACAUGCAAGCACUACCAACAGCUUACACGAGCAUGGACACGCGGCUUUAUUACAUAAGCACCACGCAGGAUCAGUACACGACGAAACAACAGACUUGGGCUCGUAGUGGUCAAACCAGAGACGGCAAGCAAGGUGGUUGCCGGCUUGGAUAUGCUCAGGUCCAUCCUAGAAGUAGAUAUUUGGAACCUUAAUAUACUCGCUUACCCCUGGUGCCAAAACUCACCCACAUCCCAAUCUGACCGGAAGCAAUUGGAACAUAGCAGUAGUGGAUAAGCUCCGUACUGGUCUCUUCUUAGAUCCCUGAACCAAGCUCUGAACCUAAUGAGUUUGAACUCACACUGACCACCUGCACCUUUCCGGUUCACUCCCCUUUAUCUUACUAUUUUCAAAGGCAACAGGUCGACCAAGGCUAACAAAGUAUGCUCACAAAACAAAACUCUACCAACUCACUAUAGAAAUUCAGGGUUAAAAGCACACAGAUCAAAAGUUGCAAUGCCCCAAAAUCCCUCCAAACUCAAUGAACUUUCUAUUUCAGUUAUCUGAAACAAGAACCUGAUAAGGAAAAUUUUGAGACAAGUUACCCCCAAUUUUGUACAGCACCAAGGCACACCCACUUCAAGAGACUUGUUCACCUUGAUAUGGUAUUUCAUUUUUAUAUAGAAUUUUUAACCCAAAUAUCCUUGGUUUAAUUACCACAAAGCUCCAAAGGUGGGUAAAAACACACAGAUUCAGACAGAUGUUUUACUGUCUGAAAAUCCCCAACACCUGACAACUGAUCUUUAGGCAAACAUUACUCUACUUUUUAUGCAGCACCAUGUUAAUCUCACCUUAUGAAACGUAUUCACCAUACUGUGGUCUCCAAGUUUUCUAUAGAAACUACAGUCUAAAACCACUCAUAUUGAUCACAAAACAGCUCCAAACUGAGCAACCUGCUGCAAUUCAAUUUUCAGCUAAUCUGAACAAAAAUUCAGUCAGUGCAAACUGACAGUCCAUUUUUGGACAACUUUCACUCUAUUUUCCAUACAUCCCCAAGCCAAACCUUCUCAAAGAGAUUUGUUCACCAAUAUACUGUCUUCAAUUAUUUUAUAGAACCUACAGUCCAAAACCUUAUGGAUUAGGCACAAAGAAGCUCCAAAACUGCACUCACAACACUAAAAUUCAGAUUCAGGUUAUUGCACUAAGUCUGAAAACCACAAUUUCUAUCAGCUCGUGCUUGGACCAGUUUUUCUCCUAGUUUGAUAUGGUUUUAGGGCUAUCACAUUUCAUAAACAUUGUUAUCCUAUAGUUACUCUACAGGUUUGUUAUAACAACUGUUUCCAAAAUACUCAUGGAUUAAAAGUUACAGGGAUUCAAAAACAGAUAAACAAAACUGCUUUGGGCUGAUUCCAACUGACCCAAAUCUGAAUUUUUGCAAAUUACUUCAAAUUCUCCCACAUCACUUGGAUAGCUCCAAAUAUGAAAAUUGUUCACUUUUCCAAGCUCCACAACUUUGAUACAUGUACUUUUAGCAAAACUUAGCUAGAUCUUAAAAUCCACUUUUGGGCUAGUUUAGAGUUGAAAUUGGACUUGAUCUGCUUCAAGCAUUUCAUCAAUUUAUUGCAUCCUACUAAAAACAAGGUUAACUUUAAGUUCAAACCCAACUUUAGUGUAUAGAUCUCAUGUACAAAUUUCCAUUGGUUUAAAAUUUGUUUGCUUGUACUAGAUUUCAAACAAGGUCUCUGAACUUCUCUUGCUCUCUUCGAAACGACACACCUUCACCCUUUUGCAAAUUUGUUACCCUAGUGAAUGCAUUCUAGGUGUAUCAAGCAAGUUAAUGCAAGUGCAUAUGAUGAAAUGUCAAAUUUUUAGUUCUCGUAACACCAGGGGUGUUACAUCCUUCCCUCCUAAAAGGAAUCUCGUCCCGAGAUUAAAAUUCCAGGCCAAGUAAUGAAAAAGGAAAUGCGUCACCAACUUAUCUUACAUUUACUCUUACAUGGCAGGGGUGUGCCCCUGUUGAUUUACAUCAAAUAUAAUUUACUCAAAACUUACAGUUUACAAGUGACUAGAAACUCAGGAAAUUUCUCCAUUAGAUAGUCUUCCGACUCCCACGUGGCUUCAUCUUCUGAAUGUUGAUUCCAUUGUACCUUGUAAAACUUAAUCACCUUUCUUCGAGUAACCCGAUCCUUUUGAUCCAAAACCUUUAUGGGAUAUUCCGAGUAGGUCAAGUCUGGUUCAAGGUUGACAUCUGAAACUUCAACAACAUGUUCGGGGACUCGAAGACAUUUCUUUAACUGUGACACGUGGAAUAUGUUAUGCACUGCUGAAAGAUUCUCUGGCAGUUGCACUUUAUAGGCCACAGGUCCACACCGUUCGAUCACUGGAAACGGACCAACAUAUCGAGGUGCUAGUUUCCCUUUGACACCAAAACGGCUAACACCCUUCAUUGGUGACACUUUUAAAUACACAUGAUCUCCAACUUGAAAAACGAGAGAUCGGCGUCUUUUAUCAGCAUAACUCUUUUGACGAGAUUGUGCUACCUGCAGAUUUCAUUGGAUCACUUGAACAUUUUCCUCUGCUUCUUUUACAAGAUCAGGUCCAAAGAAACAUCUCUCCCCCGGCUCUAACCAAUUUAAUGGUGUCCUACCCUUCGACCAUAAAGGGCUUCAAAAGGUGCCAUUCUUAUGCUUUCCUGAUAAUUGUUAUACGAAAACUCUGCCAAUGGUAAACAUUCAUCUCACUUUGCUGAGAAAGCAAGAACACAUGCUCUCAACAUAUCUUCUAGAAUCUGAUUCACUCUCUCAGUCUGUCCACUCGUUUGAGGAUGAUAAGCAGAACUAUGAAUUAGUUUGGUUCCUAACGAGUUGUGUAACUCUUUCCAAAAUCUAGAUACAAAUUGUGAGCCUCUAUCAGAUACAAUGAUCUUAGGGACUCCAUGAAGACUUAAGAUACGAGCAAUAUAUAAUUCUGUGUAAGUCUUGACUGAGUAAGUAGUUUUCACGGGCAAGAAGUGUGCAAAGUUGGUGAGUCGAUCAACAAUUACCUAUAUAGAAUCAUAUCCUUUGGAGGUUUUGGGUAACCCGACAAUGAAAUCCAUACUAAUACUUUCCCACUUCCAACCUGGGAUAGACAAGGGUUGCAAUGGUCCGGCAGACUUCAAAUGUACGGCCUUUACUCGUUGACAAAUAUCACAUCUAGCAACAUAUCGAGCAAUCUCUAUCUUCAUUUUAGUCCACCAAAACCGUUGCUUUAAGUCUUGAUACAUUUUAUUACUCCCAGGAUGGAUAGAGUACCGGGAUAGGUGAGCUUCAUCAAGUAUUUGUUGUCGUAACUCAGGAACCUUUGGAACUACUAAACGAUCUUUGAACCAAAGAACUCCUUUAUCAUCUACCCGGAAUUGUGUGGUUGGAUCAAUCAUCAUCCUUUCCUUCAUAUGAGCUAUCCCGACAUUAAUCUUUUGGGCUUCGAUAAUUUGAUCAAUCAAAACUAAUCCUAACUGGAGAUUAGCUAUUGAUGCUUGUGGUACUAUUUCCAUGUUUAACUUCUCCAUUUCCUAGCACAAGGUCACAGUUAAAGGCUUGGCUGAAAGACAGUUACAUUAGGACUUACGACUCAAAGCAUCUGCCACGACAUUAGCCUAGCUAGGAUGAUAAUGAACCUCAAGAUCAUAGUCCUUGAUCAAUUCUAACCACCUUCGUUGCCUCAUGUUCAGUUCAGAUUGAGUGAAAAUAUACUUCAAACUUUUGUGGUCGGUAUUCAUAUGGCAUGUAUUACCCAACAAAUAAUGGCGCCAAAUCUUGAGCGCAUGGACAACAGUAGCUAACUCCAGAUCAUGAGUUGGGUAAUGCUCCUCAUGGCGUCGAAGUUGUCGUGAAGCAUAUGCAAUCACUCGACCUUCCUGCAUUAACACACAUCCAAUGCUCGUGCCUAAAGCAUCACAAUAAACAUUGAAUGAUUUCUCAAUGUCAGGUUGAGCCAACACGGGUGCAGUUGUCAACAGCUUCUUUAACUUCUCAAAGGCCUCGUUGCAUUCUAGAGACCAAUUGAACUUCACAUUAUUCUUUAGCAACUCUGUAAUAGGCUUAGAUACCUUCAAGAAGUCUGGAAUAAAACGACGAUAAUAUCCCGCCAUUCCAAGGAAACUCCGGACCUGAUGCACUGUAGUAGGUGGUUUCCAUUCCAAAAUGUCCUUGACUUUACUUGGGUCGACCGCAACACCUUCGGCAGACAAAAUAUGACCCAAGAACGGAAUUGUGUCCAACCAAAAUUCACAUUUACUAAACUUAGCAUAUAAUUGGUGUUCUCUUAACCUUGUCAGCACCACCUGCAAGUGCUCUGCAUGUUCGUCUUUGGUCUUGGAAUAUAUCAAAAUGUCAUCAAUAAACACAACCACAAAUUUAUCCAGCUCUGGCAUGAAUACUGAAUUCAUUAAGUACAUGAAAUGAGCUAGAGCAUUUGUUAAUCCAAAAGACAUAACCAAAUACUCAUAAAGACCAUAUCGGGUAGUAAAGGCAGUCUUGGGAACAUCUUCCGGACGAAUCCUUAUCUGGUGAUAACCUGAUCUAAGGUCAAUCUUGGAAAACACUUUAGCUCCAGAAAGUUGAUCGAACAACAAAUCAAUGCGCGGAAGAGGAUAUUUAUUUUUGAUGGUCACCUCAUUGAGUGAUCGAUAGUCCACACAUAACUGGAGCGUUUGAUCCUUCUUUUUCACAAAGAUAGCAUGGCAACCCCAAGGUGAUGAACUCGGGCGAAUGAAACCUUUAUUGAGCAAGUCUUGCAACUGAGUCUUCAGUUCUGCUAGCUCCUUAGGUGCCAUCCUGUAUGAUCUUCUGGAUAUGGGUGCAGUACCUGGCUGCAAUUCGAUUACAAAUUCCACGUCUCGCUCUGGAGGUGAAAGGGAAAUAGGCUUACACCUUUUCCUAAAUUGAUUUUGGUGGUUGAAUUGCCCAACACAAAUAAUUGGACUAACUAGCUUGCUCUAGUCUAUAAGUUUUACAGGUGCCAAAGGUUCACAACAAGCCAAUAAAAAGACCAAAGAUGGGUUCAAAUAAAGAGAGCUAAAUACAUCCCAAAGGCACCCUGGUCUGGCGCACCGGACUGUCUGGUGUGCCACCGGACAGUGUCUGGUGCACCACCGGACAGUGUCUGGUGCACCAGGGAACUUGACGCUGAACUCCUCACCUUCGGGAAAAUGGGAGGCCGCUCCGCUAUAAUUCACCGGACUGUUCGGUGAAGCACUGGACAGUGUCCGGUGACACACCGGACUGUCCGGUGUGCCAGCGGAGCAAUGACUACUUCGCACGCAACGGUCGACUGUAACACAUUUAAUGCACGCCUGCGCGCGCAAAGGACAGAACACGCGUAGAAGGCGCACCAGACAGUCUACAGGACCUGUCCGGUGCACCACCGGACAGCCCAGAGGCCCCACCAGUCAGAGCUCCAAUGGUCAGAACUCAACGGCCGGCUGACGUGGCUGGCGCACCGGACAGUGUCCGGUGGCGCACCGGACUGUCCGGUGCGCCAUGCGACAGACAGCCUCCGAACGGCUACUUUUGGUGGUUGGGGCUAUAAAUACCCCAACCACCCCACCAUUCAUUGCAUCCAAGUUUUCCACCUUCAACACAUUACAAGAGCUAUAGCAUUCAAUUCUAGACACUACCAAAGAGAUCAAAUCCUCUCCCAAGUCUCGAAUCACUCCAAAUCAAAUAGUGACUAGAGAGAGCGACAUUUGUGUUCAUUUGAGCACUUGCGCUUGGAUUGCUUCUUUUCUUUCUCAUACUUUCUUGUGAUCAACUCAAUUGUAACUGAGGCAAGAGACACCAAUUGUGUGGUGGUCUUUUCGAGGACUUUGUGUCCCGUUUGAUUGAGAAGAGAAGCUCACUCGGUCUAAGUGACCAUUUGAGAAAGGGAAAGGGUUCAAAGAGACCCGGUCUUUGUGACCACCUCAACGGGGAGUAGGUUUGCAAGAACCGAACCUCGGUAAAACAAAUCCUUGUGUCUCACUCUUUAUUUGCUUGCGAUUUAAUUUUCACCCUCUCUCUCGGACUCGUUUAUAUUUCUAACGCUAACCCGGCUUGUAGUUGUGCUUAAGUUUAUAAAUUUCAGAUUCGCCCUAUUCACCCCCCUUCUAGGCGACUUUCAAUUGGUAUCAGAGCCCAGUGCUUCAUUAGAGCCUAACCGAUCGAAGUGAUGUCGGGAGCAUCCGCCAAGAGGGAGAUCUGGACCGGCGAGAAGCCCGCCACAAGCCAUGGGAAGGCUCCAUCCAGGGAGUCCGCCAACAAGGUGAAGGGAUCCCCUUCACACGACAAGUCGCGUCGGAGCGGUGACAAGAAGAAGAAGAUGAAGAAGGUGGUCUACUACGAGACUGACUCUUCGUCGCCAUCCACCUCCGGCUCCGACACGUCGUCCGUAACUUCUAAGCGCCAUGAGCGUAAGAAGUUUAGUAAGAUCCCCCUACGCUACCCUCGCAUUUCUAAACGUACUCCAUUACUUUCCGUCCCAUUAGGCAAACCAACUAUGUUUGAUGGUGAAGAUUAUAAUAUGUGGAGUGAUAAAAUGAGGCAUCAUCUAACCUCACUCCACACUAGCAUUUGGGAUGUUGUUGAGAUUGGAGUACAGGUACCAUCACCGAGGGAUGAAGACUAUGAUUCGGACGAGGUCGCCCAAAUCCGUCACUUCAACUCCCAAGCCACCACUAUACUCCUCGCCUCUCUAAGUCGAGAGGAGUAUAACAAGGUGCAAGGGUUAAAGAGCGCCAAGGAGAUUUGGGACGUGCUCAAGACCGCACACGAAGGAGAUGAGAUGACCAAGAUCACCAAGCGGGAGACGAUCGAGGGGGAGCUCGGUCGCUUCCGACUUCGCCAAGGGGAGGAGCCACAAGAGAUGUACAAUCGGCUCAAGACCUUGGUGAACCAAGUGCGCAACCUCGGGAGCAAAAAAUGGGAUGACCAUGAAAUGGUCAAGGUUAUUCUUAGAUCACUCGUUUUUCUUAACCCCACGCAAGUUCAAUUAAUACGUGGUGAUCCUAGAUAAAAGGCUCAAAGAAAAUUUGUGAGCUUUGAGUUGAUGAUCAAAGGCUCAAAGAAAAUCAUCGAGCAAGAUGGCCCCUCCACGCCCGAAGCACAACCGGUCGCAUUCAAGGCGACGGAGGAGAAAAAGGAGGAGUCUACAUCAAGUAGACUACCCAUCGACGCCUCUAAGCUCGACAAUGAGGAGAUGGCGCUCAUCAUCAAGAGCUUCCGUCAAAUCCUCAAACAAAGGAAGGGGAAAGAUUACAAGCCCCGUUCCAAGAAGGUGUGCUACAAGUGUGGUAAGCCCGGUCAUUUUAUUGCUAAAUGUCCAUUAUCUAGUGAUAGUGACUGGGGCAACGACAAGAAGGGAAAGAGGAGAGAAAAGAAGAGAUACUACAAGAAGAAGGGCGGCGAUGCCCAUGUGUGCCGCGAGUGGGACUCCGACGAGAGCUCCACCGACUCCUCCUCCGACGAGGACGCCGCCAACAUCGCCGUCACCAAGGGUCUCCUCUUCCCCAACGUCGGCCACAAGUGCCUCAUGGCAAAAGACGGCAAAAGGAAGAAGAUAAAAUCAAAAUCCUCCACUAAAUAUGAAACCUCUAGUGAUGAGGAUAACUCUUGUGAUGAGGAGGAUAAUUUGCGCACCCUUUUUGCCAACCUAAACAUGCAACAAAAGGAAAAAUUAAAUGAACUAAUUAGUGCUAUUCAUGAGAAGGAUGAACUCUUGGACUCUCAAGAGGACUUCCUAAUUAAGGAAAAUAAGAAGCAUGUUAAGGUUAAGAAUGCUUAUGCUCUAGAGAUAGAAAAAUGUGAAAAAUUGUCUAGUGAGCUAAGCACGUGCCAUGAUAUUAUUGCCAACCUUAGAAAUGAGAAUGCUAGACUAAUUGCUAAGGUUGAUUCAAAUAUUUGUGAUGAUUCAAUUUCCAAUCUUAGAGAUAAUAACGUUAGUUUACUUGCUAAGAUUGAAGAAUUAAAUGUCUCUCUUGCUAGCCUUAGGAUUGAAAAUGAAAAAUUGAUUGCUAAGGCUAAAGAAUUAGAUGUUUGCAAUGCUUCCAUUUUCGAUCUUAGAGAUAACAAUGAUAUUUUACGUGCUAAGAUUGUUGAACUUAAUUCUUGCAAACCCUCUACAUCUAACAUUGAGCAUGUUACUAUUUGCACUAGAUGUAGAGAUGUUAACAUUGAUGCUAUUCAUGAUCAUAUGGCUUUAAUUAAACAACAAAAUGAUCAUAUAGCAAAAUUAGAUGCUAAAAUUGCUAAGCAUGACUUAGAAAAUGAAAAUUUUAAAUUUGCUAGAAGCAUGCUCUAUAGUGGGAGACGCCUUGGCAUCAAGGAUGGCAUUGGCUUCCAAAAGGGGGACAAUGUCAAACUUAAUGCCCCUCCUAAAAGAUUGUCUAACUUUGUAAAGGGCAAGGCUCCCAUGCCUCAGGAUAACGAGGGUUACAUUUUGUACCCUGCCGGUUAUCCCGAGAGCAAAAUUAGGAGAAUUCAUUCUAGGAAGUCUCACUCUGGCCCUAAUCAUGCUUUUAUGUAUAAGGGUGAGACAUCUAGCUCUAGGCAAUCAACCCGUGCAAAAUUGCCUAAGAAGAAAACUCCUAUUGCAUCAAAUAAUUCUAACAUCUCAUUUAAGACUUUUGAUGCAUCUUAUGUUUUAACUAACAAAUCUGGCAAGGUAGUUGCCAAGUAUGUUGGGGGCAAACACAAGGGCUCCGAGACUUGUGUUUGGGUACCCAAAGUUCUUGUAUCUAAUGCCAAAGAACCCAACACCGUUUGGGUACCUAAAAUCAAGAACUAAAUUUGUUUUGUAGGUUUAUGCAUCCGGGGGCUCAAGUUGGAUCAUCGAUAGCGGGUGCACAAACCACAUGACAGGGGAGAAGAAGAUGUUCUCCUCCUACGAGAAAAACCAAGAUCCCCAACGAGCUAUCACAUUCAGGGAUGGAAAUCAAGGUUUGGUCAAAGGAUUGGGUAAAAUAGCUAUAUCACCUGACCAUUCCAUUUCCAAUGUUUUUCUUGUAGAUUCCUUAGAUUAUAACUUGCUUUUAGUUUCGCAAUUAUGUAAAAUGGGUUACAACUGUCUUUUUACGGAUAUAGGUGUUACUGUUUUUAGAAGAAGUGAUGAUUCAGUAGAAUUUAAGGGAGUGUUAGAGGGUCAGCUAUACUUAGUAGAUUUUGAUAGAGCUGAACUCGACACUUGCUUAAUUGCUAAGACUAUCAUGGGCUGGCUCUGGCAUCGCCGACUAGCACAUGUUGGAAUGAAGAAUCUUCACAAGCUUCUAAAGGGAGAACACAUUUUGGGACUAACAAAUGUUCAUUUUGAGAAAGACAGGGUUUGUAGCGCAUGUCAAGCAGGGAAGCAAGUUGGUGUUCAUCAUCCACACAAGAACAUCAUGACGACUGACAGGCCACUCGAGCUCCUGCACAUGGACCUAUUCGGCCCGAUAGCUUACAUAAGCAUCGGCGGGAGUAAGUACUGUCUAGUUAUUAUGGAUGACUAUUCUCACUUCACUUGGGUGUUCUUUUUGCAGGAAAAAUCGCUUACCCAAGAAACCUUAAAGGGAUUCUUGAGACGGGCUCAAAAUGAGUUCGGCUUGAGGAUCAAAAAGAUUAGAAGCGAUAACAGGACGAAGUUCAAGAACUCUCAAAUCGAAGGCUUCCUUGAGGAGGAGGGCAUCAAGCAUGAGUUCUCUUCUCCCUACACACCACAACAAAAUGGUGUAGUGGAGAGGAAGAAUAGAACUCUAUUGGACAUGGCAAGGACCAUGCUUGAUGAGUACAAGACUUCGGAUCGGUUUUGGGCGGAGGCGGUCAACAUCGCUUGCUACGCCAUCAACCGGUUGUAUCUACACCGAAUCCUCAAGAAGACAUCAUAUGAACUCCUAACCGGUAAAAAGCCCAAUGUUUCAUAUUUUAGUCUUUGGUAGCAAAUGCUUUAUUCUUGUUAAAAGAGGUAGAAAAUCUAAAUUUGCUCCUAAGGCUGUAGAAGGCUUUUUACUAGGAUAUGAUUCAAAUACAAGGGCAUAUAGAGUCUUUAACAAGUCCUUUGGGCUAGUUGAAGUUUCUUGUGACAUUGUGUUUGAUGAGACUAACGGCUCUCAAGUAGAGCAAGUUGAUCUUGAUGAGCUAGAUGAUGAAGAGGCUCCGUGCGUCGUGCUAAGGAACAUGUCCAUUGGGGAUGUGUCCUAAGGAAUCCGAAGAGCCUCCACAAGCACAAGAUCAACCAUCUUCCUCCAUGCAAGCAUCUCCACCAACUCAAGAUGAGGAUGAGGCUCAAAAUGAUGAAGGAGAAGAUCAAGAAGUUGAGCCACCUCAAGAGGAGAGGAAUGAUCAAGGGGGAGAUGCCCAUGAUCAAGAUGAGGAAGAUGAACAAGUUCCAAGACCGCCACACCCAAGAGUCCACCAAGCAAUUCAACGAGAUCACCCCGUGAACACCAUCCUUGGCGACAUUCAAAAGGGGGUAACUACUCGAUCUCGUGUUGCUCAUUUUUGUGAACAUUACUCUUUUGUUUGCUCUAUUGAGCCACACAGGGUAGAGGAAGCACAUCAAGAUUCAGAUUGGGUGGUGGCGAUGCAAGAGGAGCUCAACAAUUUCACAAGGAAUGAGGUAUGGCAUUUAGUUCCACGUCCUAACCAAAAUGUUGUAGGAACCAAGUGGGUUUUCCGCAACAAGCAAGAUGGGCAUGGUGUGGUGACAAGGAACAAAGCCCGACUUGUGGCCAAGGGAUAUUCACAAGUCUAAGGUUUGGAUUUCGGUGAAACCUAUGCACCCGUAGCUAGGUUAGAAUCAAUUCGCAUUUUACUUGCCUAUGCUACUUACCAUGGCUUCAAGCUUUACCAAAUGGACGUGAAGAGUGCCUUCCUCAAUGGACCAAUCAAGGAAGAGGUCUAUGUUGAGCAACCUCCCGGCUUUGAAGAUAGUGAGUACCCUAACCAUGUUUACAAACUCUCUAAGGCGCUUUAUGGGCUCAAGCAAGCCCCAAGAGCUUGGUAUGAAUGCCUAAGAGAUUUUCUUAUCACUAAUGGCUUCAAAGUCGGAAAGGCGGAUCCUACUUUAUUUACUAAAACUCUUGAAAAUGAUUUGUUUGUAUGCCAAAUUUAUGUUGAUGCUAUUAUAUUUGGGUCUACUAACGAAUCUACAUGUGAGGAAUUUAGUAGGAUCAUGACACAAAAAUUCGAGAUGUCUAUGAUGGGGGAGUUGAAGUACUUCUUGGGAUUUCAAGUGAAGCAACUCCAAGAGGGCACCUUCAUUAGCCAAACGAAGUAUAUUUAAGACAUUCUAAACAAGUUUGGGAUGAAGGAUGCCAAGCCCAUCAAGGCACCCAUGGGAACAAAUGGGCAUCUCGACCUCGACACGGGAGGUAAAUCCGUAGAUCAAAAGGUAUACCGGUCGAUGAUAGGUUCUUUACUCUAUUUAUGUGCUUCAUGAUUGGACAUUAUGCUUUCCGUAUGCAUGUGUGCAAGAUUCCAAGCCGACCCUAAGGAAGCUCACCUUACGGCCGUAAAACGAAUCUUAAGAUAUUUAGUUUAUACUCCUAAGUUUGGGCUUUGGUAUCCUAGGGGAUCCACAUUUGAUUUGAUUGGUUAUUCGGAUGCCAAUUGAGCGGGGUGUAAAAUUAAUAGAAAGAGCACAUCAGGGACUUGCCAGUUCUUGGGAAGAUCCCUGGUGUCUUGGGCUUCAAAGAAGCAAAAUUCCGUAGCUCUUUCUACCGCCGAAGCCGAGUAUAUUGCCGCAGGCCAUUGUUGCGCGCAAUUGCUUUGGAUGAGGCAAACCCUUAGGGACUAUGGUUACAAAUUAACCAAAGUUCCUCUUCUAUGUGAUAAUGACAGUGCAAUCCGCAUGGCGGAUAAUCUUGUUGAGCAUAGCCGCACUAAACACAUAGCCAUUCGGUAUCAUUUCUUAAGAGAUCACCAACAAAAGGGGGAUAUCGAGAUUGCAUAUAUUAACACCAAAGAACAAUUAGCUGAUAUCUUUACCAAGCCACUAGAUGAACAAACAUUUAACAAACUUAGGCAUGAACUAAAUAUUCUUGAUUCUCGGAAUUUCUUUUGAUGUUUUGCACACAUAGCUCAUUCAUAUACCUUUGAUCAUAUCUCUUUUAUAUGCUAUGACUAAUGUGUUUUCAAGUGUAUCUCAAACCAAGUCAUAGAUUGAAAGGGAUUUGGAGUCUUCGGCGAAGACAAAGGCUUCCACUCCACUCCAUCGAAAUUACUCAUCCUUCGCCGUCACUCCGCGCCGCUCUCCAACUUUGGUAUAAUCUUCACUCAUAUUUUGUUCGCCAAAGGGGGAGAAAGUAGUUAUGAGGGCUUAUAUUUCACUCAAGUAUCCAUUUUUGGCGAUUCAUGCCAAAGGGGGAGAAAGUAUUAGCCCAAAGCAAAAGGACCACACCACCACCAAUUUUCAAAAUUUGAGUUAAGAAAAGAUUUUUGAAAUGAUGAAUUUUUCAAUUGGUAUCUUAUUUUUGAUAGAAUUUCAAAUUGGGUCACCCUCUUCAAAAACUAAUAUCUAAAACCCUCUUGAACACUAAGAGGAGGAUUUUAUUGAGGGGGAGUUUUGUUUAGUCAAAGGAAAAGCAUUUGAAAUAGGGGGAGAAAAUUUCAAAUCUUGAAAAUGCUUCUAAUCUUAUUCAUUUACCUUUGACUAUUUGCAAAAGGACUUUGAAAAGAAUUUACAAAAGAAUUUGCAAAAACAAAACAUGUGGUGCAAGCGUGGUCCAAAAUGUUAAAAAUAUAAAGAAACAAUCCAUGCAUAUCUUAUGAGAAUUUAUUGGUUCAAAUUCUUAGUAACCUUUUGCACUUACAUUAUGCAAACUAGUUCAAUUAUGCACUUCUAUAUUUGCUUUUGUUUGUGUUGGCAUCAAUCACCAAAAAGGGGGAGAUUGAAAAGGAAAUAGGCUUACACCUUUUCCUAAAUUGAUUUUGUUGAUUGAAUUGCCCAACACAAAUAAUUGGACUAACUAGCUUGCUCUAGUCUAUAAGUUUUACAGGUGCCAAAGGUUCACAACAAGCCAAUAAAAAUACCAAAGAUGGGUUCAAAUAAAGAGAGCUAAAGACAUCCCAAAGGCACCCUGGUCUGGCGCACCGGACUGUCCGGUGUGCCACCGGACAGUGUCCGGUGCACCAGGGAACUUGACGCUGAACUCCUCACCUUCGGAAAAAUGGGAGGCCGCUUCGCUAUAAUUCACCGGACUGUCCGGUGAGGCACCGGACAGUGUCCGGUGACACACCGGACUGUCCGGUGUGCCAGCGGAGCAACGGCUACUUCGCACGCAAUGGUCGACUGCAACGCAUUUAAUGCGCGCCUGUGCGCCCAGAGGACAGAGCACGCGCAGAAGGCGCGCCGGACUGUGGCAGAACCGCCCGAAUUAUUCCAGCUUAAGUGCCUAAGUCACGCCUCAGGGGCCGUAACACACUUAAAUCGGAAUAACCCGUCAGUCCCUCAGAUCUAGUCUGAUGAAGCCACUUAACCAGGAUCAAAUUCCACAAUCUCACUCGAAGGUGAGUCACAGAAGAAAUACAAUAAAACAGGAAACCUCAAAUUAAGUACUGAGUUAUUACAUAAAUCGGAGUUUCCGAGUAGCAAAUAAAGUUCAUAAAUUAAAGUGCAGCGGAUAAUCGAUGUCGUCGGUAGUGAGGAAAUGGGCAAGGCCUAGCCCACUACUCCUCAUGCUCCUCUCCUGCCGGAGCAACAUCCCACUCGACCGUCCAACCCGGUGGCAGGGUGGUAGGCCAAGUCACACCAUCAACCAAAUCUUGCAUGGUACCUGCAAAAAUGGUGCCACAAGCAAGGCUGAGUAUACUAAUACUCAGCUAGACUUAACCGGUGUGAGGAGUCUACUCCUCUACCUCUAGACUAUGCAGCUGUUUGGCUGAGGGGUUUGGUUUGCCAAAAGCACUAGCUGUUUCUAAAAGCAAAUUUUAGCUUUUCAAAUUAUAUCAUCAUUAACUUAGCUAGGUUUGCUCCUUCUAAGCAUACAUGGUAACAAUCAAUUAGUUCAAUCAACAAAUUAUCUCAUAUAGUCCACAUUUCCCUUCUUACUCGAUGCAGUACAAGGAAUCAAGCAGUCUCAUUAGCUGCGAGAAGCAGACGAUUCGAAUCGAGUUUUUAAACCUUGCAAGGUAAACCUAAACACACGUCAAGUCAGGGUACUCCGACCCCACACAAGACAACCGUCCCCAUUGAUUCCCCGUUCGCGUCCAGGCCUCACCGCCUUGGCAUACAAUGCUCCACUGACCCCGGCUGCCGCCGUGCAGUGACCGCACUUGUACCCACCAUAGCUAGCAUGGGAGACCCAGUCUCAGGCCGCAUGAGGGAUAAAGUCCGCGCCCGGCUUCACUUAGGUACUAGGUUUACCGGUUACCAUUUUUCCCGGCAUGUGCUUAGUACGUCCAAAAGCUUGACUCAGGUAUCCACACAUUAAUCCUAAAUUCAUUUUUCCCGUCUCAUGGACAAGGCAUCCUCCCUGGAUCCAAGUCCAUAGACCAACAUAAAUCCCGUUAUCAAGAUGAAUACAAUCAAUUCCUGACCUCGCGCGAGUGCUAGAAAAAUCACUCGACUUCUACCGAGAUCCUGAUUAGCAAGCAGCUACUCGACCUAGCAUACUAGUAUUCAUCUCAAAAAGGAAUCCUAAGUUCAUGCAGCUAGAGGUUUCAAGCAACUCCUACACUUAAGUGCACAUUGCAAUCCUACAAGCAUUAAGUGUAGUAAAGUAGCAUAUAAUAACAUGGUUAUGCAUAAAACCGGGGCUUGCCUUCAAUUGCUGGGGCUGCGGGGAGAUCCUCGAUAGCAGCCUCUGAAGCCUGCUCCUGGUCCUCCUCUUGGACAGGUCCUUGCUCGGGGAUGAGCACGUACUCUCCGUCGGCAAGAUUACAAUCUAAUGAAUGCAAUGCGUAAGAUAUAUGCAUGAUAUGAUAUGUGCUUUUAGAAAUUACAACUUUUAAAGGUGUAUGAUCUUCUUGAGUUUAAACAAGUUAACUUUACUUAUGUAAAACCCUUGGGUGGUAUACUUGGUAAAUUGGGUCAAACUUAGUUAAGGUAAGGGGUAGGUUUAUUUUUUUUGGGGGUUCCACUGAAUUCUUUUUAAGUCUUAGUGAUAAAUGAUAAGUUCUCAAGUUAGACUUAUUGAGGUGGGGUUUAUUUCUUCUUUCCUUUUCUUUUAUUCUUUUAAUGUUUUGGAGUAGGUUUGAACUACAAGUUGCUUUUCUAAAAUUCCAAAAAUUCUGCAAAAAUUACAGUGGCUUGUUACUGGUGUAUGAUUCUCGGCCUCAAAAUUUGGGGAUCAGAAAGUGAAUAGUUUUCUCUGGAUAAAAUUACCAAAUUUUAGGGCAGAAGGGGUGCUUUGAACUACAACUAUUAUUUAACAGUGGGUAAUUCUCUAAAACUCAUUUUUGCUGGCUUUUAGGUGUUAUAGCAUGACUUGAUACAAAUUUCUAGUCAUUAAUAUCUUUUAAUUAUUUUCCUAUGGUUUUCUCAAGUUUCUAGCCAAAUGGGUGCUUUCUACUACCACUAUAUUUGAAAAACAUCAAACAACAGAGUUCUUAUUUUUCUUGGUUAUUAUUUUGUGCAAGAGCAAUCAUUCUGAAGUUUGGCCUCUUUUUGCUUAAGGGAAGGGGUGGUUUGCACUAUUUGAAUUAAGUGGUCUUUCUCUUUAAUCACUAGCAAAAGGUAUGAGUUUACUUCUUCUUCAUGGGUUUGCAUUUUCUUCUGGUGGAUUGUCUCAUCAUGGACUUAGCUAAUUUUUGGUUGCCCAUUAUCACAUUAUUUGGGGUUGUUCAUGAUUUAGUUGGAAAAUGUCUUAUUAUCACUUUGCAUUUAAUUUCCUUACUUAAAGAGAUGGGCUGGGGUGCUCUGUAUUUUUGUAGUGGGGCUUUGGUGGUUAUAAGUUCACUGGAUUUUGAUUAACCCCUUUGGUUAUAGUUUUGCAAUUCUAAUAAUUGAUUUUCAGUCUAUAUAAGGCUAAACAAAUCAUCUUAAUUUAAAACCGGUCCAAAUUAAUGGUCUCUGUAUUUUUCCUAGGUUCUCUGUUGCAUAAGUAAACUAGGAAAAAUAUUAUUAAUCACUGUUCAUUAAUUUCUAAGGCCUUUCUGAUUUUCUCUAAGUUUUGGACAAAAUAGCUUUAAAUGAAUAACUACAUCAUAUUUUCCAAUGCUGGUGUUCCUACUAUUUUUAAACAGUGUCUAAAUAAGGUAUAAACAUCUACAAAUUUUCUUAAGCUCAGCACAAAAGAAAAACUAAUUUUCCUUAAUUAAACAAGGUUUAGGGGGUUUCUGUUUUUAAUUUUAAACUCUAAAAUUUAGAACAGAAAACAUAGGGUUCACUAUUUUUAAAUGACAGAUUACAAUAUUCCAGAGCUAGCAAAAUUGGUUUGACAACUUUUUAUUAAGAUUUCAUCAAGUUAUGGAUUUUCUAAGUUCUCUGGUCAUUUUAAAAAGAAUAACAGAAUUGAUUAAGUGGAAAUCCACUUUGCACUGGGGUCCCUGGCGGUUUCUAAGUUUCCUUCGCGAAUCAGUCCUUAGGUUACUAUUCACAUGAGUCGCUGACCUUACAGAAAACCCCUCGGGUUCUACAGAACCUAACCCGAGGUCCUUCUUCUACCUUAAACAGUAGCCGCGGCGAAGAAAAGGGCGGAGGGGCUUACCGGCGGCGAGACUGUUCCGGUGAAGUGGUCGAGGGUGAAGGGGAGGUCGCGGGGAUCACAACGGUGUGUGGAACACCGUCGGAGAUGGCCGGAGUCGGUCGGUCCACGCGCGCAGGCGGGGAUGCUCGUCGGCGGCGAGGAGACCGGCCUGGUCACGACGAGAUAGUUCAAUCAAAUAGGUCAGGGAGGUCCACGGGAUGCCAGAGGAGACAUGAGCGAAAGGAAUUGGGCGGAGACUCAUGGAUAGCUCGGUCCACGCGCGGCGGCGGAAGACCAAAGUCCGGUGAGGUCGAUCUCGGGCCUCCGGUGAAGUCCGGUCGGGUCCGAGGGCUUGGCAAGCUUCACGGGCUACUGGCGGAGCUAGCCGAAGCACUGGCUUGCCCAGAAGAUGGCUGGGGUGGGCUGGCCACGGUGGCCGAAGCUCUGGCGGCAAUGGCGGGCGGAAUUAAGCUCGCCGGAGCUAAGGGGAAGUGGCUGGCCGGUGAGGGUGAGUGCGGGGCGAAGUGGGGCGCGCCUGGGAAGGCUUUAUAGGCGCGGCGCGGUGCACGGGCGGUCGUGGACCGGCGAGUGCGCGCGGGCGUGCACUGGGAAGGCGCGGUGCGCGAACGGGCGUGAACCGGGGGUGUCAGCCGCGGUCGAACACGUGUUCCCGUUGCCUCUGCCCCUGUUCAAGCGCCGAUUGGGAGCAAAUCUUCGCGAAUUUGGGCAAGAUCACUGCAAGGGAUUUGUUCACCAGACCAAGCUUUGUCUUUUGUGUAUGGACGACGUGCGGUUUUAGGCUAGGGACAGGGAGUUGUAGCGUCACCAAGGUGCCAGUGUCAGAAUGCCUGGUCCCGAGGUUGAGCUGCGCCAAAACCAUGUCAAAAGGAUUUGGUUUGAGUUCAAACUUUCCCAGAAUGUGUUCAAGGUAAUUUGGCACGACUUUGAUAUUUGGAUCUUCUGGCUUUGAGUUUGGAAAAGUAGAGAACACAGGUGAUCUUUGAGAAGAGGUCUGAAAUUCAGAAAUUCAGAAAUCUGAAUUUCUCUAAGGGUUCAUUGAUCAAGGGCUGAUUUGGAGAUUUAUUUGAGUUAUUUUGGCUAAGCCUUCUCAAUAUUUCUUGUUGCUUAACAAAUAUACUUUAACUUAUAUAAUUGGCUCAACUCAAAAUUUUAAACUUUUCAUCCUCUUUUCACAUCUUCUUGAAUUUUGUUCAUGGGGUUUACUUAGGGUUUUGAAUUAGGGUUGCACAUUCUUUUCUUUCAAAAGUCUCAAUUGUUUUGAUCAUGACACUUUUAAGUAUAUACUUGGUGAAUUCUUCCUCACUUAAAUUGUUUUGAUGUUCAUGCUUACUUUGGUUCACAUAAAAUAAUGGUUCUUGGUUUGGCUUUUUAAGAGAAACCCUAAGUGACACUGGGGUGUCACAGCCUUCCCCCCUUAAAGGAAUCUCGUCCCGAGAUUCGGGCCAGAGUCCUCCCGGGGUGAAGCGAAGGGUGAGACUGAUAGGAAAAAGGAUUUUGAUUGUUAUUAUUAGGGCAAAACUGCUCUUCGAAUGUCAUUCUCUUUGCAACUUCAGAAGGAAGUCCUUUUAAGUUUUACUUUAUAGUUACUUCAUUCUGAAUUAAGAUCAUAUUUUUGGAAAUUAGAUUCGAAAGGCAGGAGGAGGGGUUGGGGGUGAUUACGUACCAGCUUUCUUAGGUAGGCAAUCAGGGAAGUUGGAUCUUAAGAAUUCCUCGGUUUCCCAAGUAGCUUCCUCCUCUGAGUGAUUACUCCACUGGACCUUGAACAUCUUGAUCGAUUUAGCCCGAGUUGAUCUUUCCUUGCAAUCCAGAAUCUUGGAGGGGUACUCUUGGUACGAGAGAUCUGGCUCUAUCUCCAAUUCUGGCUCUGCUAUGAUCUCAGUCGGCAAUCGAAUACACUUCUUCAGCUGAGAUACAUGGAAUACACUGUGAAUGGCAGACAUCUUUGAAGGUAACUUCAGCUUGUAUGCCACGGGUCCACAUGCUUCGAUGAUCUCAUAAGGUCCAAUGUAACGAGGGGCUAGCUUGCCUUUGAUCCCAAACCUCUGCACUCCCUUGGUGGGUGAUACCUUGAGGUAUACGAAACUUCCCACCUUGAACUGGAGAGGUUUUCUUCUUCUAUCAUGAUAGCUCUUCUGCCUGGCCUGAGCAGCUUCUAGAUUCUUCCUGAUUAGCUUGACCUUCCUUUCGGCUUCGGUCACUAAAUCAGGUCCAAAAACUUCUCUUUCACCAGGUUGAGACCAAUUGAGUGGUGUCCUGCACCUUCUUCCAUAGAGAGCUUUGAAAGGUGCCAUCUUUAGGCUGGAUUGAUAACUAUUGUUAUAAGCAAACUCUGCCAAGGAGAGGUGCUUAUCCCAGUUCUUGCCACAAUCGAUCGCACAAGCUCUCAGCAUAUCUUCCAGAAUCUGGUUUACCCUUUCCGUCUGACCAUCAGUCUGUGGGUGGUAAGCUGAACUCCUGAUUAGCUUGGUUCCCAAAGACUCUUGCAAUUGUUCCCAAAAUCUGGCAACAAAUUGGGCUCCUCGGUCAGAAACAAUGGUCCGAGGUAAUCCAUGCAAACACACGAUCCGGUCAACAUACAAUUCUGCAUACUUCUGAGCCUUAUCAGUGGUGUGCACAGGAAGAAAAUGUGCUACUUUCGUCAAUCGGUCUACAAUAACCCAAAUCGAAUCAUGAUGACGAGAGGUGUUGGGCAGACCCACAAUGAAAUCCAUGCUGAUGUCGUCCCACUUCCACGAAGGUACGGACAGUGGUUGCAAAGCUCCAGCGGACUUCAAGUGGCUUGCCUUUAUCCUCUGACAGGUGUCACACUCUGAUACAUACUGGGCUAUCUCCCUCUUCAUUCUGGUCCACCAGUACAAGGGCUUCAAAUCAUGGUACAUCUUGGUGCUUCCCGGAUGCAUAGAGAAUUUGGAGAGAUGAGCCUCAUCCAAAAUUUUCCUCUUGAGAUCCUGGUCCUUAGGAAUUACCAAUCUGCUUUUGAACCAUAACACACAUUUCUCAUCCUGGCGGAAACAAUUAUACUUCUCAACCUUCUGAUGAAGAUUCUUCUUGAUAAUCUGCACUCCCUUGUCAUUGAGCUGGGCCAUGAUAAUCUGGUCUUGCAAAGCUGGCUCAACAGAAAUGUGAGACAAAGAACCAGAAGGAAUCACUUCAAUUUGCAUCUUGCUCAACUCAUCACACAAGGUGUUAAUACGAGAAUCCAUCAGAAUACAAUUGCAUUGCAACUUCCGACUCAAGGCAUCGGCUACUACAUUAGCCUUCCCUGGGUGAUAAUGUACCUCCAGGUCAUAAUCCUUGAUCAGCUCUAGCCAUCUUCUCUGCCUCAUGUUGAGAUCAGCCUGAGUAAAAAUGUACUUAAGGCUCUUAUGAUCAGUGAAGAUGUUGCAGUGGGUUCCCAUUAGAUAGUGCCUCCACAUCUUCAAUGCAUGAACCACUGCUGCUAACUCAAGGUCAUGAGUGGGAUAAUUCUGCUCAUGAGGCCUGAGUGCUCUUGAGGCAUAAGCAAUGACUCGGUUGUCUUGCAUCAAGACACAACCUAGCCCGGUGCCAGAGGCAUCACAAUAUACAUCAAAAGGCUUGCUGCUGUCGGGUUGCGCCAAUACUGGUGCUGUGGUCAGAUGCUGCCUUAAUGCAUGGAAGGCAUCUUCGCACUUCUGACUCCACACAAAUUUGACUUCUUUCUUCAGCAACUCAGUAAUAGGCUUCGCAAUUCGAGAGAAGUCCGGAAUAAAUCUUCGGUAAUAACCAGCCAAUCCCAGAAAACUCCGAAUCUGGCGAACAGUCGUUGGUGGCCUCCAGUUCAUCACCUCUUGCACUUUGUCAGGAUCAACAGCUAUCCCAGCCUGAGAGAUAGUGUGACCCAAGAAUUUGAUUUCCUUUAGCCAAAAAUCACACUUGGAUAGCUUGGCAUAAAGGUGGUGCUCUCGCAGACGUUGAAGCACUACAUGCAAAUGCCCGGCAUGUUCUUCUUCGUUCUUCGAGUACACUAGAAUAUCAUCGAUGAAAACCACCACGAACUUGUCCAAUUCCGGCAUAAAAACAGAAUUCAUCAGAUACAUGAAAUAUGCUAGUGCAUUUGUCAGCCCGAAUGACAUCACCAAGAAUUCAUAUAGCCCAUAUCUGGUUGAGAAUGCCGUCUUCGGAAUAUCACUUGCUCGUAUUUUGAUCUGAUGGUAGCCAGAGCGAAGGUCUAUCUUGGAAAACACCUUGGCUCCGACCAACUGGUCAAAGAGAACAUCAAUACGAGGCAAAGGAUACUUGUUCUUGAUAGUUACCGCAUUAAGAGGGCGGUAAUCUAUACACAGCCUCAAGCUUUCAUCCUUCUUCUUCACAAACAGUGCUGGACAUCCCCAAGGCGAAGUGCUUGGACGAAUGAAUCCCUUAUCCAGCAACUCUUGCAACUGCUUCUUCAACUCUGCCAACUCAGCGGGUGGCAUUCGGUAGGGCCUCUUGGAAAUUGGGGCCGUUCCCGGUUGCAACUCGAUGGCGAAUUCAAUAUCCCGGUCCGGUGGCAUUCCCGGCAAUUCAUCAGGAAAGACAUCUGCAUACUCACAGACCACUGGGAUCUCCUUCAGGGGUAUCUCCGUCAUAGAGAAAGCACAUGACUGAGAAGAACCCUGACUAGGCAGAAUCAAAGUGAAAUUUCCGCAGAAAGGAGAAUUAACUUCCACGGUACGACUGGCUACAUCAAGCACAACUUGGUGCAAGGUCAUCCAAUUUGCUCCUAGAAUAAUGUCCACAUUUUCCAAUCCCAACACAAGAAGAGUGGUUUUGAUAAUGUGGCUUCCUAGUUGAAUAGGCACACUUUGGUUUAAUUGAUUAGUUGCAAUUUUACCCCCAGGUGUGACUAUCAUGAAUGACCCUUUUGAGUGAGAGAAUGGCAGUUUGCAAUUAGCACUGAACUUUUGGCUAAUGAAACUAUGAGAUGCACCAGAAUCAAACAGAAUUAAAGCAGGUUGAUUAUAAACUGAAAAGGUACCGGUCAUGAUAGGAGCUCCUUCUGGCACUUCCUCUAGAGCAGUGAAGUUGAGCUUCCCUUGCCUGACUUGCACCUUCUGCUUUCUUCCCUUGUCUUGAUUUGGUGCUGGCAUCUGCCUCUGCUGGUUCCUGGGACAAUUCUUGGCAUAGUGGCCCACAUUGCCACAAGUGAAACACUUGUUCCCAUUGCCCUGGCGGAACUGCUGCUGCUGAGGAGGCUGAUUGUUCCUUGGGGCGGGAGCUGGAUAGCGGUUGGGUGCCGGCUGCUGCUGCUGCUGGGGUGGCCUGAUCACCCAUCUGCCUGCCUGCUGCUGAAAACCCCUGCUCUGAUUGUGAGAAACAAUCCGGAACCUCUGAGCCUGAGCGGAUGGUGCUGCCAUUGGUGCCUUUCUCUUCUUCUCUGCCCGGUGAGCAACAAUGCAAUCCUCCUGAGAGAUGGCCAUGUUGACCAACUCAUUGAAGCUAUCAGCCCGGACAGUGUUGAGUCGUUCCCGCAGCUUGGUAUUGAGACCCCUGCGGAAGCGAUCCCUCUUCUUUUCAUCAGAAUCAGCAUGAUACCCUGCAUACUGGCAUAAGUCGUUGAAGGCUUGCGCAUACUGCAGUACCGUGCGGGUUCCUUGAUUGAGGGCCAGGAAUUCAUUCAACUUCCGAUCAAGAAUGCCAGCUGGAAUGUGGUGUCCUCUGAAGACAGUCUUGAAUUCCUCCCAAGAUACUUCAUGAUCAGCGGGGAGCAUAGCACGGAAGUGGUCCCACCAAGUCCGAGCAGGGCUGCGAAGCUGCUGUGCGGCGAAGCGAGCCUUGGCCUCAUCAGGGCAGUCUCCCGUGAGGAGGGGAAACUUGGACUCGACGACGCGAAGCCACACGUCGGCGUCCAACGGAUCCUCUGCCUUGGUGAACAAGGGCGGCUGCGUGCUCAGAAACUCCUGGUAUGUUGCCAUAGCCGGAGGUCGCUGAUGCUGGCCUCCACCAUGAUGCUGUUGGUGGGGCUGGCGCUGCAAGAGCUGUCGCAGAAUCUCAUUCUGCUGGGCCAUCAGCUCCUGCACUGUGGGAGCUGGAGGAGGUGGCGGGGGAGCUUGCUCAUUCUGCCCGCGACGCUGCCUAGCUGCCAUCUGAAAACAGAGAUUGUCGCCAUUGUUAUCCCAAUCCACAUUUCUGAACGACAAUAUAUCAUCUCAUAUGGAAUGAAAAUGCCAUAAUCAUAAUAUUAGGUUCAAAAUGAAGAUAACAUGGUGACAAGGAUCCCACAGUUAUCAAAAGUUUACAGGGUUACAUUAAUCAGGGGAAGGUACCCACAAGCCUAGUCCAAAAUGUGAUACUACUAAGCUCGCAUAGGUUUCUAUCCGCCUAAAAACGUCGAAGCGACUGCUUAACCCUGAGCGGUGGAAGCGACACUGGAUACAGGUGAAGGAGGCAUCGCGGAGGUAGUCCCAUUGGCACCAGGGGCUGGUCCUAGCUCCUCGGGAGCCUCUUCUCCCUCGCUUCCUGCUUCAUUGGCCUCCAUCUCCAGGUGGUGCAUGUCCAAGUGGUCAUUUGCUUCCUCGAGUUCCCUCUGCACGUCGUGAAGCUGGUUUUCCAAGACAUCAAUAGUGUUGUCUCGGAUCUCCACUUGCUGCUCCAGGGUAGCGAUACGCUGGCUCAGCCUCUCCACCUGCAGAUCCUUCUCCACCAACUCUGUGGACAGGUCGACCACAAAAUCUUCCCAACUGUCGAGGGUGAGCUUGGCAGCCUGAGCGGUGUUAGCAAGAAGUGUCAUAGCAUCACUCUGAAGGGCCUGAAGGCGGUACAGCGCACUCAUGCACUGAACAGUGACCCUCCCAACCAAGUCAGGAUACAUCGCCCACACAUCCUUCACAUGGCUCACGCGGUUACACCACAUGGGAUCAUCCUUCUUCUCAGCAGGGAAGAGUCCCAAGGGGUGCAUCACCAUCUCCAGGGGAUGGUAGCCACAAAAAGUCGUCAGAGUCUUCAUGGCUGCUGCCUCAACGGUGUCGUCCGUCCUGAGUCCAAUCGUCUCAGAGUCAAGAGAACGCCAACCCGGCUGAAGGGGAUGAGCCUCCAAAGUUAGCCAGACCCGACAACGAGGUACCCGAUGCUCCUCAUACAACUGCACUGUGUAUAAAGGGGGCGUAGGGUAACCGGCGGAGUUAAGCACUUCCCACAAGAUGGAAGGAAAGCCAUCGCGAGAAAGGAAGUCAGAGCUGAAACGAGGGUCUCCUCCACUGGCGGGGGUGGGUGAAUUCAUCUGCGGAAGGGAAUCAAAGAUAAAGAUUAUGGUGGAAGGAAAAAGAAAAAGAGAGCCCGGAUGGUUUUAAGGAAAAAGGGUUAGCUCCAUUUUAAUUCCUCUUGGUGUUUUGUAAUGUAUGCAUGCUGUAAGAAACGUUGCCUCUCACAAGAAAAUAGGGUGCCUUUUUAGGGCAUCCUUAAAAAUAUAAGUAUUGGCCCACAGGGCCUAAUUAAUUAGCCACCUAUUUCUCCCCUACGCCUAAGGCCUUUCGUCCUAGGUCUAGCGAUCUAGUCCUGACGAUCCGUAGUAGUUUCUAGGCAAGUUUUAGAUUUUGAAAAUCGGUAUUCAUGGUUUAUUGUCCUUCUCUGUGGUGGAAUUUGCUCCGAUACCAGCUGUGGCAGAACCUCCCGAAUUAUUCCAGCUUAAGUGCCUAAGUCACGCCUCAGGGGCCGUAACACACUUAAAUCGGAAUAACCCGUCAGUCCCUCAGAUCUAGUCUGAUGAAGCCACUUAACCAGGAUCAAAUUCCACAAUCUCACUCGAAGGUGAGUCACAGAAGAAAUACAAUAAAACAGGAAACCUCAAAUUAAGUACUGAGUUAUUACAUAAAUCGGAGUUUCCAAGUAGCAAAUAAAGUUCAUAAAUUAAAGUGCAGCGGAUAAUCGAUGUCGUCGGUAGUGAGGAAAUGGGCAAGGCCUAGCCCACUACUCCUCAUGCUCCUCUCCUGCCGGAGCAACAUCCCACUCGACCGUCCAACCCGAUGGCAGGGUGGUAGGCCAAGUCACACCAUCAACCAAAUCUUGCAUGGUACCUGCAAAAAUGGUGCCACAAGCAAGGCUGAGUAUACUAAUACUCAGCUAGACUUAACCGGUGUGAGGAGUCUACUCCUCUACCUCUAGACUAUGCAGCUGUUUGGCUGAGGGGUUUGGUUUGCCAAAAGCACUAGCUGUUUCUAAAAGCAAAUUUUAGCUUUUCAAAUUAUAUCAUCAUUAACUUAGCUAGGUUUGCUCCUUCUAAGCAUACAUGGUAACAAUCAAUUAGUUCAAUCAACAAAUUAUCUCAUAUAGUCCACAUUUCACUUCUUACUCGAUGCAGUACAAGGAAUCAAGCAGUCUCAUUAGCUGCGAGAAGCAGACGAUUCGAAUCGAGUUUUUAAACCUUGCAAGGUAAACCUAAACACACGUCAAGUCAGGGUACUUCGACCCCACACAAGACAACCGUCCCCAUUGAUUCCCCGUUCGCGUCCAGGCCUCACCGCCUUGGCAUACAAUGCUCCACUGACCCCGGCUGCCGCCGUGCAGUGACCGCACUUGUACCCACCAUAGCUAGCAUGGGAGACCCAGUCUCAGGCCGCAUGAGGGAUAAAGUCCGCGCCCGGCUUCACUCAGGUACUAGGUUUACCGGUUACCAUUUUUCCCGGCAUGUGCUUAGUACGUUCAAAAGCUUGACUCAGGUAUCCACACAUUAAUCCUUAAUUCAUUUUUCCCGUCUCAUGGACAAGGCAUCCUCCCUGGAUCCAAGUCCAUAGACCAACAUAAAUCCCGUUAUCAAGAUGAAUACAAUCAAUUCCUGACCUCGCGCGAGUGCUAGAAAAAUCACUCGACUUCUACCGAGAUCCUGAUUAGCAAGCAGCUACUCGACCUAGCAUACUAGUAUUCAUCUCAAAAAGGAAUCCUAAGUUCAUGCAGCUAGAGGUUUCAAGCAACUCCUACACUUAAGUGCACAUUGCAAUCCUACAAGCAUUAAGUGUAGUAAAGUAGCAUAUAAUAACAUGGUUAUGCAUAAAACCGGGGCUUGCCUUCAAUUGCUGGGGCUGCAGGGAGAUCCUCGAUAGCAGCCUCUGAAGCCUGCUCCUGGUCCUCCUCUUGGACAGGUCCUUGCUCGGGGAUGAGCACGUACUCUCCGUCGGCAAGAUUACAAUCUAAUGAAUGCAAUGCGUAAGAUAUAUGCAUGAUAUGAUAUGUGCUUUUAGAAAUUACAACUUUUAAAGGUGUAUGAUCUUCUUGAGUUUAAACAAGUUAACUUUACUUAUGUAAAACCCUUGGGUGGUAUACUUGGUAAAUUGGGUCAAACUUAGUUAAGGUAAGGGGUAGGUUUUUUUUUUUUGGGGGUUCCACUGAAUUCUUUUUAAGUCUUAGUGAUAAAUGAUAAGUUCUCAAGUUAGACUUAUUGAGGUGGGGUUUAUUUCUUCUUUCCUUUUCUUUUAUUCUUUUAAUGUUUUGGAGUAGGUUUGAACUACAAGUUGCUUUUCUAAAUUUCCAAAAAUUCUGCAAAAAUUACAGUGGCUUGUUACUGGUGUAUGAUUCUCUGCCUCAAAAUUUGGGGAUCAGAAAGUGAAUAGUUUUCUCUGGAUAAAAUUACCAAAUUUUAGGGCAGAAGGGGUGCUUUGAACUACAACUAUUAUUUAACAGUGGGUAAUUCUCUAAAACUCAUUUUUGCUGGCUUUUAGGUGUUAUAACAUGACUUGAUACAAAUUUCUAGUCAUUAAUAUCUUUUAAUUAUUUUCCUAUGGUUUUCUCAAGUUUCUAGCCAAAUGGGUGCUUUCUACUACCACUAUAUUUGAAAAACAUCAAACAACAGAGUUCUUAUUUUUCUUGGUUAUUAUUUUGUGCAAGAGCAAUCAUUCUGAAGUUUGGCUUCUUUUUGCUUAAGGGAAGGUGUGGUUUGCACUAUUUGAAUUAAGUGGUCUUUCUCUUUAAUCACUAGCAAAAGGUAUGAGUUUACUUCUUCUUCAUGGGUUUGCAUUUUCUUCUGGUGGAUUGUCUCAUCAUGGACUUAGCUAAUUUUUGGUUGCCCAUUAUCACAUUAUUUGGGGUUGUUCAUGAUUUAGUUGGAAAAUGUCUUAUUAUCACUUUGCAUUUAAUUUCCUUACUUAAAGAGUUGGGCUGGGGUGCUGUAUAUUUUUGUAGUGGGGCUUUGGUGGUUAUAAGUUCACUGGAUUUUGAUUAACCCCUUUGGUUAUAGUUUUGCAAUUCUAAUAAUUGAUUUUCAGUCUAUAUAAGGCUAAACAAAUCAUCUUAAUUUAAAACUGGUCCAAAUUAAUGGUCUCUGUAUUUUUCCUAGGUUCUCUAUUGCAUAAGUAAACUAGGAAAAAUAUUAUUAAUCACUGUUCAUUAAUUUCUAAGGCCUUUCUGAUUUUCUCUAAGUUUUGGACAAAAUAGCUUUAAAUGAAUAACUACAUCAUAUUUUCCAAUGCUGGUGUUCCUACUAUUUUUAAACAGUGUCUAAAUAAGGUAUAAACAUCUACAAAUUUUCUUAAGCUCAGCACAAAAGAAAAACUAAUUUUCCUUAAUUAAACAAGGUUUAGGGGGUUUCUGUUUUUAAUUUUAAACUCUAAAAUUUAGAACAGAAAACAUAGGGUUCACUAUUUUUAAAUGACAGAUUACAAUAUUCCAGAGCUAGCAAAAUUGGUUUGACAACUUUUUAUUAAGAUUUCAUCAAGUUAUGGAUUUUCUAAGUUCUCUGGUCAUUUUAAAAAGAAUAACAGAAUUGAUUAAGUGGAAAUCCACUUUGCACUGGGGUCCCUGGCGGUUUUCUAAGUUUCCUUCGCGAAUCAGUCCUUAGGUUACUCUUCACAUGAGUCGCUGACCUUACAGAAAACCCCUCGGGUUCUACAGAACCUAACCCGAGGUCCUUCUUCUACCUUAAACAGUAGCCGCGGUGAAGAAAAGGGCGGAGGGGCUUACCGGCGGCGACACUGUUCCGGUGAAGUGGUCGAGGGUGAAGGGGAGGUCGCGGGGAUCACAACGGUGUGCGGAACACCGUCGGAGAUGGCCGGAGUCGGUCGGUCCACGCGCGCAGGCGGGGAUGCUCGUCGGCGGCGAGGAGACCGGCCUGGUCACGGCGAGAUAGUUCAAUCAAAUAGGUCAGGGAGGUCCACGGGAUGCCAGAGGAGACAUGAGCGAAAGGAAUUGGGCGGAGACUCACUGGAUAGCUCGGUCCACACGCGGCGGCGGAAGACCGAAGUCCGGUGAGGUCGAUCUCGGGCCUCCGGUGAAGUCCGGUCGGGUCCGAGGGCUUGGCAAGCUUCACGGGCUACUGGCGGAGCUAGCCGAAGCACUGGCUUGCCCAGAAGAUGGCUGGGGUGGGCUGGCCACGGUGGCCGAAGCUCUGGCGGCAAUGGCGGGCGGAAUUAAGCUUGCCGGAGCUAAGGGGAAGUGGCUGGCCGGUGAGGGUGAGUGCGGGGCGAAGUGGGGCGCGCCUGGGAAGGCUUUAUAGGCGCGGCGCGGUGCACGGGCGGUCGUGGACCGGCGAGUGCGCGCGGGCGUGCACUGGGAAGGCGCGGUGCGCGAACGGGUGUGAACCGGGGGUGUCAGCCGCGGUCGAACACGUGUUCCCGUUGCCUCUGCCCCUGUUCAAGCGCCGAUUGGGAGCAAAUCUUCGCGAAUUUGGGCAAGAUCACUGCAAGGGAUUUGUUCACCAGACCAAGCUUUGUCUUUUGUGUAUGGACGACGUGCGGUUUUAGGCUAGGGACAGGGAGUUGUAGCGUCACCAAGGUGCCAGUGUCAGAAUGCCUGGUCCCGAGGUUGAGCUGCGCCAAAACCGUGUCAAAAGGAUUUGGUUUGAGUUCAAACUUUCCCAGAAUGUGUUCAAGGUAAUUUGGCACGACUUUGAUAUUUGGAUCUUCUGGCUUUGAGUUUGGAAAAGCAGAGAACACAGGUGAUCUUUGAGAAGAGGUCUGAAAUUCAGAAAUUCAGAAAUCUGAAUUUCUCUAAGGGUUCAUUGAUCAAGGGCUGAUUUGGAGAUUUAUUUGAGUUAUUUUGGCUAAGCCUUCUCAAUCUUUCUUGUUGCUUAACAAAUAUACUUUAACUUAUAUAAUUGGCUCAACUCAAAAUUUUAAACUUUUCAUCCUCUUUUCACAUCUUCUUGAAUUUUGUUCAUGGGGUUUACUUAGGGUUUUGAAUUAGGGUUGCACAUUCUUUUCUUUCAAAAGUCUCAAUUGUUUUGAUCAUGACACUUUUAAGUAUAUACUUGGUGAAUUCUUCCUCACUUAAAUUGUUUUGAUGUUCAUGCUUACUUUGGUUCACAUAAAAUAAUGGUUCUUGGUUUGGCUUUUUAAGAGAAACCCUAAGUGACACUGGGGUGUCACACGGACAGUCUAUAGGACCUGUUCGAUGCUCCACCGGACAGCCCAGAGGCCCCACCAGUCAGAGCUCCAACGGUCAGAACUCAACGGCCGGCUGACGUGGCUGGCGCACCGGACUGUCCGGUGCGCCAUGCGACAGACAGCCUCCCAACGGCCACUUUUGGUGGUUGGGGCUAUAAAUACCCCAACCACCCCACCAUUCAUUGCAUCCAAGUUUUCCACCUUCAACACAUUACAAGAGCUAUAGCAUUCAAUUCUAGAGACAACCAAAGAGAUCAAAUCCUCUCCCAAGUCCGGAAUCACUCCAAAUCAAAUAGUGACUAGAGAGAGCGACAUUUGUGUUCAUUUGAGCUCUUGCGCUUGGAUUGCUUCUUUUCUUUCUCAUACUUUCUUGUGAUCAACUCAAUUGUAACUGAGGCAAGAGACACCAAUUGUGUGGUGGUCCUUGCGGGGACUUUGUAUCCCGUUUGAUUGAGAAGAGAAGCUCACUCGGUCUAAGUGACCGUUUGAGAGAGAAAGGGUUGAAAGAGACCCGGUCUUUGUGACCACCUCAACGGGGAGUAGGUUUGCAAGAACCAAACCUCGGUAAAACAAAUCCUUGUGUCUCACUCUUUAUUUGCUUGCGAUUUUCUUUUCACCCUCUCUCUCGGACUCGUUUAUAUUUCUAACGCUAACCCGGCUUGUAGUUGUGCUUAAGUUUAUAAAUUUCAGAUUCGCCCUAUUCACCCCCCUCUAGGCGACUUUCAGGAGGCAAACCUGGUAAAUCUUUAGGGAACACAUCUGGAAAUUCCCUGACAACAGGUAUAUCCUUGUACUCUUUAACUGUAGCAGCACACACUCUUUCCACUGCUCUCUUAAGAGUUGGUAAUCGGAUCAGCAACUUAUAAUUACCGUUAGGUGAGUCCAACUGUAUCGUCCUUUGUAGAGCGUCAAUCACCGCCCCAUGCUGUCGAAGCCAAUUCAUACCCAGAAUCACAUCUAUGUCCUGAUAUGGAAGAACUAGCAUAUUGGUAGGAAACAUGUGAUCAACUAGCUUUAUGGGUAUCUGAUAUACCAUCUCCUUAGUAUGUAAACGCCCUCCAGGAGAUUGUAUGCUAUAUCCAUUCUCUACCAGCUCCAAAGACAACUGGUGCUUUAACACAAAUGUCCAUUCUUCUUAGCUUUCGGCUGGCUACUGAGAGGAGGAGUCAUAAGCAACUGUUGCUCACUCACUCGCCUAGGGAAGCGACAAUCCAGAGUAGAGUGUCCCGACUUACCACAAUUCGCACAUGAAUUGGCAUUAUCUGGAAUAUUUUCAAAACGAAUGUCUCGGACAUCCGGCUCAUGUGGAAUAAAAGGAAUAAUAGCAUGUCUUUCACAUGACUGUUGUGAGCUAGGUAGCUGGGGUAGAAAAGAACGAGGAUGAUAAACAGGUUGAUAAACAAUCCUCCGGCACUGCUUGACACUAUCAGAGAAUUCCUCCACAAGUUGCUUUCUUUUAGAUUCCUGAUGACGACGAAUCUUGUUAUCACCCAAAACAGCCUGACUGACCACCUCAUUAUAAUCUUCAACCAAACUAGUUGCCAUCAAACAUUGGAGCUUCUCGUUAAGGCCACGCAAGAAAUAGAACUUUUUCUUCUGAUUAGUAUUCACAAAAUCCAAGACAUACUGGGAUAGACGAGUAAACCUCUCAAAAUAUCCUAUCACACCCUCUUCUUUUCCUUGCUUUAGAUCUAGGAAUUCGUUAAACUUUAUUUCCAUAAGGGCUUUCGGAAUAUGAUGUGCCCGAAAUACCUCACAGAACUCCGCCCAAGAAACUUGAUGACCUUCUGGCUGUAGUGCAAGGUAUUCGGUCCACCAAGCUCCAGCGGGACCCUGAAGUUCUUGGGUAGCACACUGAACUUUUUGGAUAUCAUCACAACAGAUGAGUCCCAAGUUCUGUUCAAUCGUUCAAAGCCAAUCUUCUGCUUCCAAUGGAUCUUCUACCUUGGAGAACACUAGUGGUUGCGUACUGAGGAACUCCUUGUAGAGGACAGCAACAUCAGAAUCAUAAUGACCAUGCUGAACUGAUGUUGCAGGCUAGGCUAUUUGCUGAAGAACAGCAUUCACACUUGCAAGCUGAGCCACAACAUCAUCUAAAGUUGCUACCGGAGAUGGAUUGGAUGCAUUAACAUUCUUUUGGGAAACACCAGCACCAUGAUCCUUUCCGGAGCGGGUCCUCAUUCUGCCGACAAAAGGAGACUUAGCUUCCAAUCUUCAUGAAUAGGAAAGGAUAGCAUAGAAAAGCAAAGAUAGGUAGCAUGAACAGGGUGGGUAAAACACGCGUGGAAACUGCUACAGAGGGGGUUUAACUUAAAAGUGUAUGUCAUGAUGCAUGCUCGUCCUAUUCGUCCUCACGAUUCUUGCCGACACAUAGUGGCUAUCACGUUCUAUGGCGGUGGCAUACCUACUCACUCCGUCAUUGUACACUAGUCGCACUUUCCUAGUGUUUAAUUAGUUAGUGUACCUGCAAAAAAUUUCAUUACAGCCCGAACCCCAUGAUGCAAUUCACAGACUUUGUCACAGUUUAUACUCCAUAUAUUUCUAUAUGGAGGCCAGCUCCUCAUUAAGCGCUGAGCCACGCAUAGGUGCCGCUGCCACACUUUAACCACAGGGCAACCCAUUGUGGUAACUAUUCAUUACACUUCUCAGCAUUCUCAUGUCUGUAUACCCAUACACAUUCACGGGGUACUGAAUCCCAGUAAAGUAAUUACUCCACAUCGCAACCUUCAUAUAUACAUAUGUGUAACAUGUAUAUAGUCCAGUGCCACAUUUAAGCACUCCCCUAGACCGAUGUUUGUUCGGUCAUGCUCUCACAUCUCACCUUACCUGAGUGUCGAUCCAUUCAAAAUUGAAUGGCACUAAAAAUAACAUUACACAUGUAUACAUUACCCUUCCCAGGUUGUGGGUUAGUGGUUAUCAUCUUAAACUAAGCCACCUAAUAGUCCUUAGUUUUAACCACAUACUAUUUACACUUCUACUAUCAGGCCUUGAUUAUAGAUUCUUAAGUUUGUAAAAAUCAUUUAGACUCAAAAUCGUUUUGAAGUUUAUCAAAUGAUUACUUUAAUAUCCAUGCUAAUGGGGGAUCGCUCCGAUACCACGCUGUGACAACCCUCCCAAGUUAUCAGGCCCACAUGCACCAACCCUUGUCAUUAACGGCCUCAGAUGUCUAUGCACGUGUACUGGGUAACUUAACAAGGCUAUCACGAGUUCAACAACUCGAACUCAUUAUCCCAAGGAUCUCCCACAUUCAUGCAUAUUACAGUAAUCACACUCGAUACAAACACUUCGGAGAUAGAGCGGAAGACUUUACAAAACAUAUUUUACAUUUCCAAAGCUCAAGUUUUACAACAUAAGAAGAAUUGUAAUUAUUACAAGUCCUGAUAGUACCCAAAGUGCAUAACUUAUUAUAAUAAUUGGAAGGGUGAAGCCUUUCCAUAAGAGAUACACAUAAACAUUCUAAGCUUCAAGGCCUCCACAUGAAGUAACUAACCAAAAGAUAAGGGAAUAAAACUUCUCCUGCAAAAACAACAGGGGAUAAAACCCUGAGUACGCAAUUACUCAGCAAGACUUACCCGACUAAAGAAAAGACUCUCAAGGGUAUGCUAGCUGAUUGGGAAUCAAGGUAAAUUUUAUCAAUGAUCAAAGACUCUUUUUUGCAGAAAAGCUUGCUACCAGUUGAUCCUUAAGCCAAAUUUUAUUUCACUAGUUAGGUUAUUACUUGAAUCUAUAUUUGUCUGGUCUAGUUCAAGCACUUGGCCUAUAAUAGUCGCAUUUUAUUCAUUCUCAUAUUUCACUUACUAACUACGAUGAUGGUCACCAGGAUGAGUCUCCAUAACCGAGGAGCAACGACGAUUCGAACUGAUUAUACCCAGCUGGGGAUCUCUAAUCACACGACAUAUGUAGCAUUUAACCCUUGCAUAUGUCAACCAUUCCCACGGAGUCCUCCACUACAUGAAUAGGUCUGCGCCACCCGAGAGCACAUUACCCUACCAGGCGUGCUACUAUGCCAGGAGGGUACAUGCUACUCCCGCCAUCUCUCCACUCCCAGUGCGCGAUUGUCUCUUCACGUAUGGAAUAGCCAGGUUCAAGCUUACCCUGUCCCAUACCAGUGUAUGUGGCUAGUUGCAAAGUCUCAACCACAACAGGCCAGUCAACGGUACGGUCCUUAAUCAACACAAACGGGCGACCAUGUCAGCUCAGCGUCUGGUCUCGAUUUAUUCAAACCAUUUCCCCAUUUUUGGUACCCGGUAGGGGUACUCUUUUCGGAUGAUGAACCCAUCCGGAGCCCUGAUGGACUCAUCAUCAUAAGUUUGCUUUCACUUUUGAAUCAAAAGCCCAUAACCAAUGUUACACAUCAUUCUUUUGAAAAACAAAUGAUUUUUGAGUUUCUAAGCAGCACUAAGCAGUAAUAAUUCUUUUUAUAAAACAGGGAUUUAGGAAUUUUCAAGGAAUGAUAAUGCAUCAAUUGUUUAUCACACAACUCCUAUCACCUAAUGCAUCAUAUCAGGUGAUAAAGCAUUUAAAACGCAAGGAAGGGGCAAAUGCACCGGGGCUUGCCUUAUUACAGGAGGAGAUCUGAGAUCUUCUAUUAUGAUAAGUAGUUAGAUGGAGUUCACCACUGAAUCAACAACACUGGAACAAGCUCCCUCUUCACAAUUCAGUUCUACAUGAAAUGAUAUGAAUAUGAAUGCCUGUGUAUAUGCUACUAGCAAGGAAGGUAUUACGAAGCAUUACAAAAUUACAAUUACAAGCUAUCACCACAAGCCAUAACUACCAGGGAGCUACUUAUCCUUAGAACUCAUCUAACCAUCCAAAACUUGCUAAGAAACUUCAUUUUCAUUUUUUUACUAAGUCAUUAUGUGCUUUAAUCACCCAGGGAUAAAUCUCUUUUUCCUUUUUGACCAAUAACUAGUUUGCCAAGCAAACCUUGCCCAAACAGUUUCAAACUUUACCCAAGGGUUCAUAUGCUCAACAUAAGCUUACACAAUUUUUCUCAUAAUUUUUAGUGCUCUAUUUUAUUACUAAAAUUUCAGAUAAUCAUUUUAAGGCACCUUUUAACCCUCUAAAAAUAUCUAUUUGCUGCAAAAACUCCAAAUCUAUUUUUACCUGGCACUCUACUACUUCACCCACCUAACAAAACUUGUUUCACUAUUUUAGUACCUUUCCACAAUUUCUGGCACAAAUAAACAGACAUCAGACAAAAGAAAAUACUAAAUAUAUAAACAGCUGUGGGCAAGAACUGACUCAACUGGCCCAACUCUAAACAACACCAGCAGUCAAGCAGUGCUUACGGCUUUAGGCUCCAGCUUCGCGCUCCCUCUGCGCGCUGGCUGCAACGCCAAACUCCGGCAACAACAACACGGAACACGACGCAGUAGAGUUCCAAUCAGCAACUGGGUAGCAUCAGUGGCUCACCACGAAGCGGAACAACCCAUGAGCGUGCUCGCAACCAGCUCCAGACUAGGUCCGCCAUGGUGAGGUCAUUCCAGACGGUGUUCACCGACGGCGCCACGGCGUUCUCCAAGUCCUGGCCACGGAGGGGCGAGACGCCGGCAGCGUGAUCACAAUUUCAAAGACAACGACAACAAACGGCAGUCUCGGACAGCGGCGUAAUCUGGUUUUACACGAACGUGGGGCACAGACAUGGGAAACAUGUCGGUGAGUUGGCUAGAAACUAGAAGACGGCCGAGAAACACCUUAGGCGAGUUUGGUC
Molecule: long non-coding RNA, 35373 nt
Filed under: Zea mays
Lineage: Eukaryota; Viridiplantae; Streptophyta; Magnoliopsida; Poales; Poaceae
Description: long non-coding RNA (ZMAY_LNC004929)
Source: RNAcentral